Molecule: ribosomal RNA, 253 nt
Filed under: uncultured bacterium
Lineage: Bacteria
Description: partial 16S ribosomal RNA
Rfam family: Bacterial small subunit ribosomal RNA
Source: RNAcentral
UACGAAGGGGGCUAGCGUUGUUCGGAAUUACUGGGCGUAAAGCGCGCGCAGGCGGUUCGAUAAGUUAGGGGUGAAAUCCCCGGGCUCAACCCGGGAAUGGCCUUUAAGACUGUCGGGCUAGAGGACGAGAGAGGUGAGUGGAAUUCCCAGUGUAGAGGUGAAAUUCGUAGAUAUUGGGAAGAACACCGGUGGCGAAGGCGGCUCACUGGCUCGUUUCUGACGCUGAGGCGCGAAAGCGUGGGGAGCAAACAGG